UACGAAGGGUGCAAGCGUUAAUCGGAAUUACUGGGCGUAAAGCGCGCGUAGGUGGUUCAGCAAGUUGGAUGUGAAAGCCCCUGGGCUCAACCUGGGGAACUGCAUCCAAAACUACUGAGCUAGAGUACGGUAGAGGGUAGUGGAAUUUCCUGUGUAGCGGUGAAAUGCGUAGAUAUCUGGGGGGAACAUCGGUGGCGAAGGCGGCUUCCUGGACCAACACUGACGCUGAGGCGCGAAAGCGU
RNAcentral lists this ribosomal RNA (242 nucleotides) under uncultured bacterium. RNAcentral describes it as "partial 16S ribosomal RNA". It matches the Rfam family "Bacterial small subunit ribosomal RNA", at positions 524 to 762 of the family's 1533-position model. The record is from RNAcentral.